AAACCACCUGCCAAGAUAGGGGGCGGGGCUUCGGUUAAAUUGAUUCUAGCACUACUUCACGAGCUGCUAAUUAAAAUUAAGUUAGCUGGAUAACUAAAUUAUUUCUUCUGUGACUCAAAGUCUCCACUAGCAGUAGGGGGUAAGAUGUUGAAGCACAAGUGGAAACAAUUCGGCCGGAGGAGGAAAAUCAGUGGAGUUGCUGCUCACCGAAGCCAACACUUAAGGAGCUAACUAAUGUUGGACAGGAGCCAGCCUUACAAACAGAUGGCCGAAGUUAGCUGCUGACCUUCGGGAGAGACCUUAGUUACCUGCAAGAGCACAGAUGACUGAUGAAUAUCCUGAAAUGGUUCAACUCCAACACUCGCUGACUUCAACUAAUGGCAGCACUAAGAGAACUGAAAUUACCUCACCGAUGGAAGACGGUAAUCGAUUUCCAGGUCACAUGAGACUGGAGGUUGUAGGAGAUAUGAAAUAAGAGAAAUGAGAUGCAUCUAUGACUUAUCCCACUCUGUGGAUUGUUGAAAGUCCUUCUGGGAAGCUCAGUUAAUCACUAACUCGGGAUGAUCCAGCAAGGCGGCCUGAGAGAAAAUGGGUUCACCAAGAAAGUAAAUUACAACACGUCAUUAUGAAAUAACUCCUGUAAUGCUUCAAAUCCCAUGUUGAUCAUGUCUUUUGCUUUUUAUUUUCAGCCAUGAUGCGAAUAGUGCUUAAUUUGAGAAGGGUUACUACUGUAAGGCUAGUAGGCAUGAUGCUGAAACGAAACGAAACGUCUAUCUAAUCAGUUGUUGGAGUCAGUUAUCAGGAAAAAUGCCAAACAUUCUUUGGUUUCAGCUUCUCAAAUAUGAGGAUUUGCUGCUUUUCUCUGUUUUAAAUCACUGUAAAUUGAAUACUUUUGCAUUUUAGACUAUUGGUCGGACAAAACAUUGAAGACAUCACCUUGAGUUCUGGAAACAUGUUACAGUAUGGACUAUUUUACACUAUUUUUGACCUUUGAUAGACAAAAUGAUUGUUUGAAAAAUGUAAACAAAAAUUAUUCAAUAAUGAUAAUGUUCAUUAGUUGCAGCCCUACUUCAAAGACCAAUGAAAAGAGUAUAUAUUAUGAUUUCCCCAUCUACUGUAUAUGUCAUAACAUUAUUACAUUCCAUUGACUGUGAGAUACAGUUUCAAGAAUGGAGCAAAUACCUGAGAUAAGCACUCAAAAAGAUGAUUAAGUCCUGUGCAGUGCUUCAAAUUGAUGUCAGAGCAUUACUCACACAGACGCCACCACUCAAUCAUGCAUUCUUUAUUCGCCUCUUAAUUGGAAGGAAUGCAGUUUUUAAUCCGACAAGCUGUCUUCUCUUGAGAUGUCGCUGCUGACUGUGUAUGCUUUAAAUUCUGAAUGACACUGCAAAUACCUGUUGAUGCGGUCUGUGUAAUGGAAGCUGGCAGAUCAUCUUCUGCGUCCCAAUCACCCGCUGCCAAAGUGCAGCUUCUGCACUCCUGUCAUAGACUACAUCAAACAGCAGCGACUUUCAAAAGCAGACAAGUUGUACCGAUUAGCAAAGACAGAUGAGUGAACUUUGUCAAAACUGAUUGGUUAUAAUUGAUGGUGUGAUGACAAAGUUGCAAAUGUUGCUGGACUUUAUAAAAAAUAUUGAAAAGAGUAACAGUAUGUUAGCAUUGGGUGGCUGUGGCUUAGAGAUAGAGCAGGUCGUCUACUAAUCGGAAGGUCGGCGGUUCGAUCCCGGCUUCCCCCUUGGGCAAGAUACUGAGCACCAAAUUGCCCCCAAGGGCUGUGCGAACGAGUUAGUUUCUUUUCAGUUGGCACCUGCCAUCAGUGUAUGAAUGUGUGCCAAUGGGGUGAACGUGAUAUGUAGUAUGAAGUGCUAUCCUUAUUUGGGGAUCAGUGCUAAGACAACAUUUAACAUAAAGGUGUUUUACCUUGAAACUUGAUUCACAUUUAAAUUGCUUCCACCUAUAUUCACAGUUUGAUACCUGGGGGAAAAAAAGGCGAUGUACAGAUUUUAUAUACAGAUAUCACUAAACAACAGACUGAGCUUGUACCGUCUUUCUUAUCGUGUGUCUUAAAGCUGUGAGGCUGUUUCCACAGAGCAAACAAACAUUAACCAUCAGAGGAGCAGAUACAUUAAUCUGCAGAACAUCGUCUCCGGCAGACAUUCAUAAACCAUCUGUUAUGACAGCUUACAUUGCUAAUUACACUUGCUGCCUAUUGCAUUUCAAAGACAAUACGACCAUUCUUCUAGGGCCUGUCUGUAACAAAAAUGUUGUCAAUACACUAACUGCACAGAUGUCAGCUGUAGCUAGCUAUCAACAUACACUGACCAUGUGUGGGUGCUGAUUGUGCCUUGGGACGAAUUCUAAAUUUACCAGGAACUCCAAUAAUCCAAUAUAUAAUUAUUAUUUUUUUUAUUUUCUAAUUUUCCUCUCCUUCAGGUUCAAAAUAAGCACACAUUUUUCGCUUAGGUUGAAGCAUUUCUAACUCAAGUAGAUGCGCCUUCACCUCAAUUUGCGACACAUAUUAUAAUUUGUUAUCACUUGGCAUAAUGCAUUCACUCUUCAUCUUUCCAUUGAUUUUUAUACAGUAUGCAAUUACGCUUUCUAAAAUCCACUUUGUGUACUGUCUAUGUACCCACUUUCUUAAUGCAUAGGUAAAGAAGCAGCCCUGACUGUGAACGCCUACCUUCCUUUAAAGGAGAGAGAGCACACUGUAGCCAGUGGUUAGUAUGUCUGAUAAAUUGACUAAUCGUUACAGCUCUAACAAUUAGUCUGUCAACAGAAAAUAAAUCAAACAAUUUUGAUAAUCGAUAAAUAGUUAUUAAAGUAAUUUAUGAGGCAAAAAAGCCUAACAUUUGCUGACUGCAGCUUAUUUAAGACUUUUCUCUGUCUUCUAUCAUAAAUUGAAAAUCUUUUAGUUUUGGACUGUUGGUCAGAUAAAACAAGUAUUUAGAAGACAUCACCUUGGGCUAAUUGUGAUGACCAUUUUACAGUAUUUUGUGAUGUUUUGUAGACUACUAAUCAAAAAUUUUUAAUGAAAACAACAGUUAGUUUCAGCCCUAAUGUCUAUUCAGUAUGUCCACCCUUGGUGACAAAGAUGUGAAAAUACACAAAGAGGAUAGCGCAUUGAUUAAAAAAAAAAAAAGAGUCCAAAAUGGAGAUUAAUGUGGGAGAAACAGGGAGGCAAGUUCGCAAGAGCAAAAUAUGAGAAGAAGCGAGAAAGGGGAAGUAGAGGACUAACAGAAAGAGAUGGAGGCAAAAAUCAAAAGGCAAAAGCACAAUCCAGCUGCUCCUCAUGGGCUUCUUUCAUCUCGUCCCUUGAUGCUGAAGUUGUGGUGUUGGUAAAGAGGAAAGAGCCUCUUUCAGCUUAAAGUUUUGAAGUCACAUGUCCAGAGGAAAUCAGAGCUUUGUCAUAAGUAUCUGAUUGCAGAUUAUCCAUGUAUUGCUCAUUUUUAAAAAUUCCUCUUCUACAGUAUGUUUGUGCAUAACAAGUCUUUU
Molecule: long non-coding RNA, 3492 nt
Organism: Siniperca chuatsi (mandarin fish)
Lineage: Eukaryota; Metazoa; Chordata; Actinopteri; Centrarchiformes; Sinipercidae
Exons: 3
Source: RefSeq, a predicted model, not a curated record